CCUACGGGGGGCUGCAGUAGGGAAUAUUGCGCAAUGGGGGAAACCCUGAAGCAGCAACGCCGCGUGGAGGAUGAAGUUUUUAGGAUGGUAAACUCCUUUUGUGAGAGAAGAAAAUGACGGUAUCUCACGAAUAAGCACCGGCUAACUCCGUGCCAGCAGCCGCGGUAAUACGGAGGGUGCAAGCGUUACUCGGAAUCACUGGGCGUAAAGAGUGCGCAGGCGGGCUUGUAAGUCAGAUGUGAAAUCCUGUAGCUGAACUACAGAACUGCAUUUGAUACUAGGAGUCUAGAGUGUGGGAGAGGUAGGUGGAAUUCUUGGUGUAGCGGUGAAAUCCUUAGAUAUCAAGAGGAAUA
RNAcentral lists this ribosomal RNA (353 nucleotides) under uncultured bacterium. Its description in RNAcentral is "partial 16S ribosomal RNA". It matches the Rfam family "Bacterial small subunit ribosomal RNA", at positions 338 to 708 of the family's 1533-position model. The record is from RNAcentral.